UACGAAGGGGGCUAGCGUUGCUCGGAAUCACUGGGCGUAAAGGGCGCGUAGGCGGAUCUUUAAGUCAGGGGUGAAAUCCUGGAGCUCAACUCCAGAACUGCCUUUGAUACUGAGGACCUUGAGUUCGGGAGAGGUGAGUGGAACUGCGAGUGUAGAGGUGAAAUUCGUAGAUAUUCGCAAGAACACCAGUGGCGAAGGCGGCUCACUGGCCCGAUACUGACGCUGAGGUGCGAAAGCGUGGGGAGCAAACAGG
Molecule: ribosomal RNA, 253 nt
Filed under: uncultured bacterium
Lineage: Bacteria
Description: partial 16S ribosomal RNA
Rfam family: Bacterial small subunit ribosomal RNA
Source: RNAcentral